RNAcentral lists this ribosomal RNA (497 nucleotides) under uncultured bacterium. Its description in RNAcentral is "partial 16S ribosomal RNA". It matches the Rfam family "Bacterial small subunit ribosomal RNA", at positions 28 to 507 of the family's 1533-position model. The record is from RNAcentral.
GAUGAACGCUGGCGGCGUGCCUAAUACAUGCAAGUCGAGCGAACGGACGAGAAGCUUGCUUCUCUGAUGUUAGCGGCGGACGGGUGAGUAACACGUGUAUAACCUACCUAUAAGACUGGGAUAACUUCGGGAAACCGGAGCUAAUACCGGAUAAUAUUUUGAACCGCAUGGUUCAAAAGUGAAAGACGGUCUUGCUGUCACUUAUAGAUGUAUCCGCGCUGCAUUAGCUAGUUGGUAAGGUAACGGCUUACCAAGGCAACGAUGCAUAGCCGACCUGAGAGGGUGAUGCGACACACUGGAACUGAGACACGGUCCAGACUCCUACGGGAGGCAGAAGUAGGGAAUCUUCCGCAAUGGGCGAAAGCCUGACGGAGCAACGCCGCGUGAGUGAUGAAGGUCUUAGGAUCGUAAAACUCUGUUAUUAGGGAAGAACAUAUGUGUAAGUAACUGUGCACAUCUUGACGGUACCUAAUCAGAAAGCCACGGCUAACUACGUG